Non-coding RNA from Triticum aestivum (bread wheat), 140 nucleotides. The record is from Rfam. Lineage: Eukaryota; Viridiplantae; Streptophyta; Magnoliopsida; Poales; Poaceae.
AUAUUACUUCCUCCGUUCUAAAUUACUUGUCGCAGAAAUGGAUGUAUCUAGAAGUCGCAGAAAUGGAUGUAUAUAGAACUAAAAUACAUCUAGAUACAUCCAUACCUGCGACAAGUAAUUCGGAACGAAGGGAGUACUGG